CUGUCCCGAGCUGGGCGAGUGCUGCAUAACCUGCAACCAGUUCCCCUCAGGAUGGAGCUACACGUCCUGCCAUCAUGACAUAAGUCAAAGAAAUACUGACAAUGUUAUAAAAUACAGUCGCAACAGCUGGUAACCUUUCUUGGUGAACGUAUGAAGCGACAGUGAUUAUUCAACGGUGUGCAGGACUACAGAGU
RNAcentral lists this non-coding RNA (194 nucleotides) under unclassified sequences. RNAcentral's name for it is "RT-16 RNA". The stretch from base 41 to 194 matches the Rfam family "RT-16 RNA". From Rfam's summary of the family: candidate division DUSEL4 (Archaea). The record is from Rfam by way of RNAcentral.